This 1350-nucleotide long non-coding RNA is filed under the name Dromaius novaehollandiae (emu). RNAcentral's name for it is "lncRNA (ENSDNVG00000011626.1)". The record is from RNAcentral. Lineage: Eukaryota; Metazoa; Chordata; Aves; Casuariiformes; Dromaiidae.
GCGGGAGGCACCGGAGCCCGGCUGCGCGGAGGGGCGCGGGGCGGCGCGGCGGGCGCCCGUGCGGAGCGGAGCGGCGCGGAGCGGAGCGGCGCGGCGCUGCCGGGCGAACAAAGCGGGGCCGGGCCGGGGCCGCCGCCGGCCCGCCCCCGCCGCCGCGUUUGCUCCGGUCCCUCGAUUGUUUCGCUCUGACCGAGAGCUCUGCGCGCAGUCCCUCGUGCGGCCGGCCGCGUCCCCCUCUCGGGCUUGCGGCGAGCGACUGUCCGCCGCAGUCCCGCCCGGCAGCGGGGAGGAAACCUCCACGCUAGAACGUUGUCACCUCCGAUUCAUCACCCAGCAACAUCUGACACUUCAAAGCCUGGGACGGCUCUCUCCGCUGCCUGCCUCUGCCCUGAACUGACAGACGAAACAUCUUGAACAGACUUUCCCUGCUUACUGAGCCGAGUGAUUUGUUACGAUGGAUUUUGCUUGGACCUGGUAGGUGUGCGUGCUGAUGGAUGUUGAUUUUGGGUCUUUUCGGUAAAUCUCAACUCACACUUCUUAGUGGGUAUUGUAUGCUCCGGGGGAAAACUUUCCUCUCCCCUUCGUCCAGUGUUAGCGUCAGAUUGCCACAGAAACUCAUUCUUCCUCCGAGUCAAAGCAGCUCCUUGAGCAAGUACUUCUGAUACAGUCAGUGAGAGGAUGCUGGUGUUGCGGGGUAUCUUUGCCUAAAUUUCUUACUCUGAAACCUGAACCAAGUCACCUGUUCGCAUAAGUCAGAAGUGUCUUUGCUGGCAGUGAGCAUCUAGUGCCCUGUUUUCUGGGGGUGAAUACCUUUACUCUCGCUUUGAAUAGGGUCUGUUGUUUGUUUAACUUGCAGUAUUUCAAUAGAGCUUUGUUUAUUUGUUUUUCGUGAAUGCCUGUCUACUUACAUCCUAUUAUAGGCAAGUAUUCUGCUUCUCAGAAGUCAACAGGUACUUUGCCAUUGACUUAAUUUUAGUAGUUUGGGAGAUUUUUUAAAUCUCUGUUAGUUUUGGCUGUGUAAAUAUCUGUUAUUUCUUCAUAAAUCUCUGUACAGGAUAUCUAAGAGAUAUAAUUCGUAUUGGGGGUGUAUCUGAAGCAGAGGGACAAGGGCCCUGGAGACAGAGUGAAUAUACUUUGCAUGUUAGAGUCUUCAAAAAUURUCAUGUUUCUUAUGAGCCCAUCCAAAGCCUUUUCAAGUUAGUAGGAGAUUUCCCUACUUCCUUGAUUAGUAAAGAAAAUAUUCAGAGUUUUGAAUAGUUAUUACAAUAUAUUUGGAACUAAGAGACCUUUUAUAGGCAAAAUAUUGUUUUUCCUCAAAUUAGUAAUAAAACAUUGAACAGAUGGACUUCA